Molecule: long non-coding RNA, 11876 nt
Organism: Loxodonta africana (African savanna elephant)
Lineage: Eukaryota; Metazoa; Chordata; Mammalia; Proboscidea; Elephantidae
Exons: 8
Source: RefSeq, a predicted model, not a curated record
CAUUGUAUGGGUGUAUCACAGUUUUUUUAAACCGUUCAUCCAUCGAAGGGCCUCUUGGUUGCUUGUCAAUUAUGACUAGAACUGCUGUAAACGUUUGUGUGCAGGUACCUGUUCUUCAAAUGUUGGACAUCCCCUGUGGAGCUGAUGGUUGCCUUUCCACUGUGGGGUCAUGCACACAGGCCUGCCCGGUGUCUACCCAGGGCACUGUUGUUGUUGCUGUUAGGUGCCAGCGAGUCAAUGCACUGCACUCCACUGCAAAUUUCACUCAACCUGGGCUUCCUGUUUCUGAGUUCUGGCCCAGCUUCAUCUUGGGCAAGGUACCCUUGCUCCCUGCACUUCGUGGUAUUUAUUAUAAAAUGCACAUGCUUCUCAUAGCCCUCACAGAAAAGACUGGGACAGGGUGGAGAGGCCUGAGUUUGUGGAUGGGGGGUAUGCCCGAAAGAAGAACUUGAGUGACACAAUUUGAAGACUGGAUAGUAGAGUGUUACAUAGUGCAGGAUGUUUAGGGUUAGCAGGAGCCUCCGGCCACUGGGGUUCUGGCUCCUAUGUAAUUUUCCUUUUUAAAAUAGGUUGGAGGGUAGCACUUGCUCAAUCAAUGCCAUUCACCGUACCACCAGAGUAAAGGAGAAAAAUCAUAUUGUUUUGACAUAUGCAGAAAAACCAUUUGAAAAAAUUCAACACCUAUUCAUCAUAAAAACUUGGCUGAAAUGAGAAGGGCCACUAAUAUCAGAGACACCGUGAACGCACCACUACAGGCUAAUCAGUGGGUGAUUCUCAAACUUUUUAGUCCCAGGACCUUCUUACAAUCUUUGCAGAUGCUGAAGAGUUUCAUUUCUGUGGAGUUUCUCUACCGAAAAUUGCCAUAUUUGUAAUUAGAACUGAGAAAUUUUAAAAUAUAUUUCUUUACCUUAAAAUAACAAUAAACGUAUAACAACAUGUUAACAUUAAUCACAUGUUUUAAUGAAAAGAAAAAUGUCCAAAGCAAACAUAUGGAAUGAGAUUGGUUUACGUUUUGAACAUCUCUUUAGUAUCUGGUUUACCAGAAGACAGGCAGAUCCUCCUCUCUGAUUCAGCAUUCAGCCUGUUGUGAUAUGUUGUUUUGGUUGAAGUAUAUGAAGAAAGUCUGAAUUCGUUCAGAUGUGUAGUUGAAACGGUGGACCUCAUGAAUCUGCUGAGAAACUUGGGAACCCCCAGGGCCCCUCAGGCUACACUUUGAGGGCCACCAACCGAGAGUUAUAAAUGCCACCUGGUCACUUUAGACGCCUCAUGGUGGUAAACACACAGACAGAGUGGAGUUACUACAGUAGGAGUUGUAAUUGGCCCUGAUUACCUUAAAACCAAAAACCAAACCCACUGCCAUCGAGUCCAACUCAUAGCGACCCUACAGGACAGAGUAGAACUGCCCAGUAGUUUCCAAGGAGCACCUGGUGGAUUUAAACUGCUGACCUUUAUGGUUAGCAGCUGUAGCUCUUAACUGCUAUGCCACCAGGGUUUCCCUGAUUACCUUAGGAGGCAGGAUUGCCAAUGCAUAAGGAGGGCAGGGAAUAGAACACCUGGAACCCAGGGAAUUCACCAGGGCACUUCUGGUUGAUUUCAUACAUGAUAGUAAUCAUGACCAGGCAAUUGGAGUAAUCUCAAUUUGACAAGAGCAUGGCAACCAGGACCUCAACUCCUCAGGAAUGAAGGUCUAAAUUACUACACCAAGAAAGCAACCUGACCAGCAGAACAGGUUAACAGGUGUGUGGUGUAAAGGCUUAAAAUUCAGGCCUGGUAUUAUGUGUGGUACCAUCACAUCUGGGGGAAACCAGGUGGGCCUCCAAUGGCCUCAGUGUAAGUUCUCCUCCUUACUCUGCUCCCUCAGAUACAAUCCCCUAAUGAAACAACCCUGCUAAUCAAAAGACCCAGGUGCUCUUCCUGCUUAUCUCUGCCACUCCAUGGAAUUACUCACACAAGCCAAUCACAGCCUCCGGCAGGGGUCACAGCACCGUCUAUUAUGAUAAAGCCUGCCUCCCGCAGUCCCCGGCUAUUCCCUCUGUUUCUGUUCGCAACUCCUUGUGGUGGGCGGUGUUCCUCUCCCUUGGUCUGUGAGUGUGUGUGACUAAGAAACUGUGGUCAGUCUCAUCUGUCCAGGGUUGGGUGUCAUACAUAUAGUCAUCCCUGUAACCCUAGGGCAGCGAUCCCUCCCUCACCAACGUGAUGGGUGUUGUUAGUGUUAGCUUCCGUCCAGUUGGCCCUCAACUCAGGGUGACCCCAGUGCACCAUGGAACAGAACCAAGCACUGCCUGGUUGCAUCGUGAUCUAUAAAAAAGGAGAUUAUUAGACCUUCCUUCCUAGUCCAUUUCAGUUGGAAGCUCUGCUGAAACCUCUUCAACAGUGUAACACCACCCAAGCCUCCUCUGACAGCUUGGUUUUGCCUACUACUUAAGUGAAGUUUCAAGUGAGAUUUAUAUCCUUCUGGGGCCAAGUGUGGUGGCAGCUCCAGUGUCUGACUUCAGAGAACCUCAUGCAGAAGGUGAGGCCCUGGGGCAUAGGGUUGGGGCUGCUUUAUUAGCCCCCACCUCUCUCAGACUAGGAAACCCUGGUGGCGUAGUAGUUAGGAGGCACGUCUGCUAACCAAAAGGUCGGCAGUUCAAAUCUACCAGGUGCUCCUUGGAAACCAUAUGGGCAGUUAUACUUUGUCCUAUAGAGUCAACUAUGAGUUGGAAUCAGCUCGACGGCAACGGUUUCCCUUAGACUAAACAGCUUUCUUUCUGGGCUAACCAUUGAAAGUUUAGGGUUUUCUUUAACUAAGAGAAGCAGGUUUCCCAACCAGCUUCCUAGGUGCUUCUAUUAAGGAUUUUAAGCAAGCAAAAAAAAAACAUAAAAUUUUUUUUUCUUUUUUUCAUUGCAAUUAAAAAACUCCAAGUAAGUUGAAUUAAAGAGUAAGGACACAAAGAAAUUAAUAAUUAAGGUGGGUUUCAAGAAUGGCUGAUUUAGUGACUCAGUGAUGCUUUCAAAUACUCAAAUAUUUUCCAUCUGCCUCUCUCUGACACUCACAGCUUUUCAUUCAACCUAGAUUGAUUGGUUCCUCUUAGGGGGUGAUAUAAUCCCUUAUAAGGUGGCUAUAAGAUGGCUGCCACUAGGGGUUAGAGUACGUCUUAGUCAUCUAGUGCUGCUAUAGCAGAAAUACCACAAGCGGAUCAUCUUAACAGAGAGAAUUUUAUUCUCUCACAGUCCAGUAGCCUAGAAGUCCAAAUUCAGAGUACCGGCUCCAAGGUAAGGCUUUCUCUCUAGGCUUUCUUUCUCUGUUAGCUCUGGAGGAAGGUCCUUGUGAUGCAUCAGUUUUCCCUUGGUCUGGGGGCAUCUCAGUGCAGGAACCCCAGGUCCAAAAGAUGUGCUCUGCUCCUGGCACUGCUUUCUUUGUGGCAUGAGGUCCCAAUGUCUCUCUGUUCUCUUCUGUCUUUUAUAUCUCAAAAGAGAUUGGCUUAAGACACUACUUAAUCUUGUAGACCUCAUCAAUAUAAUUGCUGCUAAUCCAUUUUAUUACAUCAUAGUGAUAGAAUUGACAACAUAUAGGGAAAUCACAUCAGAAGAUAAAAUGGUAGCGAAUCAUACAGGGGAAUCAUGACCUAGCCAAGUCAACAGAUAUUUUAGGGGACACAAUUCAACCCAUGACAAGUCGCUAGGCAUCUUUAUUCAUGUUCAGCAGGAGGGAGAGCUGUUAUCUCUCCCAAACAUUCCUUGUGUCCGAUGGGGCUGAUGUAGGUCACAUGCCACCAGCCCUGGACCAGUAGCUGUCUGUCACAGGGGGAUUGUUGUUGUUGUUGUUAGGUGCCGUCCAGUCAGUUCUGACUCAUAGCAACCCUAUGCCCAACAGAACGAAACACUGCCUGGUUCUGCGCCAUCCUUACAAUCAUUGUUAUGCUUGAGCUCAUUGUUGCAGCCGCUGUGUCAAUCCACCUCCUUGAGGGUCUUCCUCUUUUCCACUGACCCUGUACUCUGCCAAGCAUGAUAUCCUUCUCCAGGGACUCAUCCCUCCUGACAACAUGUCCAAAGUAUGUAAGACGCAGUUUCGCCAUCCUUGCCUCUAAGGAGCAUUCUGUCUGUACUUCUUCUAGGACAGAUUUGUUCGUUCUUCUGACAGUCCAUGGUAUAUUCAAUAUUCUUCUCCAACACCACAAUUCAAAGGCAACAAUUCUUCUUCGGUCUUCCUUAUUCCUUAUUCAGCUUUCACAUGCAUGUGAGGAGAUUGAAAAUACCACGGCUUGGGGCAGGCGCACCUUAGUCUUCAAGGUGACAUCUUCGCUUUUCAACGCUUUGAAGAGGUUCUUUGCAGCAGAUUUACCCAAUGCAAUGCGUCUUUUGAUUUCUUGACUGCUGCUUCCAAGGAUGUUGAUUGUGGAUCCAAGUAAAAUGAAAUCCUUGACAACUUCAAUCUUUUCUCCGUUCAUCAUGAUGUUGCUCAUUGGUCCAGUUGUGAGGAUUUUUGUUCUCUUUAUGUUGAGGUGUAAUCCAUACUGAAGGUUGUGGUCUUUGAUCUUCGCUAGUAAGUGCUUCAAGUCUUCUUCACUUUCAGCAAGCAAGGUUGUGUCAUCUGCAUAAUGCAGGUUGUUAAUGAAUCUUCCUCCAGUCCUGAUGCCCCAUUCUUCUUCAGAUAGUCCAGCUUCUUGUAUUACUUGCUCAGCAUAUGGGUUGAAUAGGUAUGGUGAAAGAAUACAACCCUGAAGGACACCUUUCCUGACUUUAAACUGAUCAGUACCCACUUGUUCUGUCUGAACAACUGUCUCUUAUGUAAAGGUUCCUCAUGAGCACAAAUUAAGUGUUCUGGAAUUCCCAUUCUUCACAGUGUUAUCCAGAGGGAAUACCAUGGACUAACUGGCUUAAGCCUAGGUUUCGUGGCAAUCUCUGACAGUGAGGAUGGGAAUACCGUGCUUAGAUCAGUAAGAAACUACCCCCGAACUGAGAAUAGGGCCAGCUUCCUCUGAGUAACAUGAGCUCCAAGGAAAGAAAUUGCGGGUACCUAAAAACUACCUGGGAUCUGUUCGGAGAAGGUGGAAGAGGGGGCGGAUACUAGAGAGGCAAUGACUGGCCCACUAUACUCAUGUUACAGACCUUUUCACUUAAAAGUCACCGCCCAAGUGCAGUUGGAGGGCACCUCCCUUGACUCAUCUAACUGUCCAAAGGGCUCCUUGGGCUUACAGUAUUUUGGGAUAUAGUGGCAAGGUGACCCAUACGGUGCCACUGCAAAUAGCAGGAUAAAGUUCUGUGGUUGUCGUGUCGUGUCCAGUGGGCAGUCAACUUAGUGGGGCCUUAGGGAGCUAAAUUCCCGCUGAGUCCCCAGGUGCAGAUUUGGGGAUGACUUUCAUUUGUUUGAACACUGGGUGGUAGAUGGCGAAGACUGAUUCUCUUCCUCUUUGGGCCUAGUUUCUAAUUACUCACCCUGUACUUCCCGAGAAAUACCCCUUUAACCCACCCUUCCUUCUUUUCCCCAGACAACUCUCCUCAUCCAGUAUCUCUCUCUUCUCUUGCCCACUGCCCCCCAGGUUCUAGUACUCUCCAGAGCUCCAGCCCUAGGCCUCUAUCCGUCAAGCCCCAAACCAUCCUCUGUUUACUUUUCUUUCUUGCCGUAAUCUUUGAUAGUUACGAAAUCCAGCAUCUGGGUCACUACCAACUAAAAACUAGUUCCUCUUUCUGGGCUGGGCUGCCUUAGCCAUCAGACACUUCCUGAGAGGGAGGAGAAAUGUUUGCCUUCCCUCCUGGGAAUGGGGAGUGAUGGGAAAAGCUCCUUCCCUCCUAGAAUAGGACGAAUCACUCCUUCUAAUUCAGCAAGGCAAAGACAAACAGAAAACAGGUAGUGACGUUUCCAUAUUAAAACAGGUGAGAGAUUAUGGACCUGUGCAUAGCGCUGGAUGCGGUGACGUUCUCAGUCCUGGUCAGUGUUAGGUACUGAGCCUGGGACCAGACUCUGAUGAGCUCUUGAGGACCUGCAGACUGAUGGUGCAGGACUGAUACUGAGAAGGUGGGACAUUCUCCCACAUUCUCUCCAGACACACAGAAUCCACAGGAGGGUCCUGAGAAAACAGGAGCUGGCCAAGCCACUGGAUAGAAGGAGAUGGACAUAAAGGCCACACAGUGACUGUCCUGUUAGGCUGUGGCAUGAGCAGAGGCCCUUCGCAGAGCUCCACAAGCUUUUUUCAUCUUGAAAUAAUACUAAAAACUUGUACGCUCACUUUCCAACCUUUGAUGCUGCAUUGUCACAGUUCAUUGGACUACUGCUGAAUACCCAAUGGGGCGAGAGUGGUCACAAAGAGCAUGAUACAAAUACAAGAAAGAUGAGGAGGCCUCAGGGAUGGACUUAUUCAUAUAUGGAUUGGGCAAGUACCUGACUUCAGAAGCCCUAACUGCCUACCAAUAUAUCUCCAAUUAAUCUUUGGCUGUCUUUGCCAUAAAAAUGCCCGGCAACAGAUUUGAAGGAAGACCACAAAGACAUAGAGAGGAGACAUGAGAAUAUAUCCUUUUGAUAGUCUUAUUUCUUUUUUUAAUUGGGUUUACAUAAAUAUUUUGCACUGCAGGAGUAGCAAUGGGAAUUGAAAUUUCUACAAUAGGUUUCAUGUGAUGUCAAUAUUGGAUUACUGUUUGAGAGUGAUGGUUCAAUCCAAGGACGAUUAGAUGUUGCUAAUCUGUCAUGUUUUUAAAAGAUCUCUUUAAAUCCCUAUCACAUUCAUAGGGAUAUGCUGUGGAUGUCAAGAAGGGCUCAUGGGAAUAGUGUUACCCUUCACCCUUAGGUCUUUUGUUUUCAUCCAACACACUUUGUCAAUGGCUAAUAUCUGUGUUUAGUAAUUGAGGUCUACAUAAAACCAAAGAGAAAUCCGUAAUGGAUAAAGCCACAGUAAUCAUCAAAGAUGCUAAUUAGAUGGUGGGUAGUAAAGUUAGAUUAAGGUAAAUUGGCAAAGCAUGAGUAAACGCGACUUCCACUGCUAGUGUAUAAUAGCAGUAUAUUUCCUUGACUUUUCCAUUUCAACAUGCAUUUGGGAAACCAGACCUGAAAUUAUUUCCUCUGAAAGCUAGGGUGCUUCAACAUGAUUUCUAAGUGGGAGAUUCACAUAAAGAGAAAGCAGAAGAUUUGAACAAUUCAAUGAUAAUUUUUUUACUUAAAUUUUCAUAGAUUUAAAAAUAAAGCAUGCUUAGAAAGAAAAGCAGCUAUGUCUUCAUUGGUUAAACUCAGGUCAUAGUAAUACCUACCUCCUCUGGUUACCCAGUUACCCAUGUUGGUUUUCUCUCUUCAAAGAAUGAUCAAGAUGUAAAUAUGACUAUUUCUCUGGGUCUGUUAUAGAACAGAACAAAUUCAGUUUGGAAUGUGCUACUUUUCACUUACAGAUCAAAAGCAGCCAACUAUGGUAGAAGUAGAAAAAUCUUUAGAAAUGUAUUCCUUCCCUUGAGAUUUUAUCCCCAUUGACUGUCACACAAGAGGCUAUUGAGCAAUAUCCACCAUAUUAUAACUCUGCUGUCUGUAAUUAACAGAGAUAAAUAUUUAAGUUAAAGAUUAAGGUAACUCAAACUUUUUUUCUUUUUAUAGAAUUAUAAUUUGGGCUUUAAAAAAAGGAAAGAAAGAAAACUUAAAGGCACUUCAUGUGAGAAAGACGAUGUAAUGGCAAACACAUGAUAACUGUAACCAUGAGCUCUGGGUUUUAAUUCCAGUUACACAAAUAAGCACUGGGUGCCUUGGAGACUAGUCACCUUGCCUGUGAAAUGGGGGUGAUACCUGCCUUGAGAUUAAAACAAUGCUUGUAAAACACUCGGCCCACUGCUUAGCUCACAGUAUUCACUCACUCACUCAGUCGUUCAUUCAACAAGAUCUUACAAUCUGUCUGGCAAUGUGCUAGGCCCUGAAAAUACAGCAGUGAAAUCAUAGACCCGGUUCCUGCUUUCACAGGCUUUAACAAUAUGCUAGAAAGGAAGUCAUUAAAAAUCACAGGAACAACAGCUUAAUAAAUAAAAUUAAUUCAGAAAAAAAAAAGUUCCUUUUCGCUUCUCCUCAUUUGUAAAAAGAGAAUACUUGCCCUUUCUAUUUCCACUUAUGAGAAUUAAAUUAAUGAACGAAUGGGAAUCCACUCCGAAAAUUCUAAAACCAAAAACCAGACCCACUGCCAUUAAGUCAAUUCCUACUCAUAACGACCCUGUAGGACAGAGCAGAACUGCCGCCUAGGGUUUCCGAGGCCGUGGGUCUUUAUGGGAUCAGACCGCCAUGUCUCCCUCUUGUGGAGCAGCUGGCGGUUUUGAACCACUGGCCUUCUGGUUAGCAGCCUAGUGCUUUAAUGACUGCACUGCCAGGUAUCCAGUGAAAAUUCUAAGGCUCUAUACAAAUGUCUGUUGCUAUAUUUGUACCAAAAAUUUAUCAAACAUGUGCUAUUUACAAGGCUCUCUGGAAAGUACAAAGAUAAACUACUGGGGGAAGGAAAGACAGCUGGGCAGGGUGAGGUCUAAUUCCAGGCAGAAAGUACUCAGGGGAAAGUGCUUGGCUAUUUGGAGGAAGCCAAGAUGGGCUCCAGUGAGGAGGGCCUCAGGGAAGACUUCAAGGAGCAGGUCCAUUUGAACCAGGUUUUGAAAAUUAGGGGCCAUUUGGACUUGAGGAAGUGAACCAUCUGUUCCUGUCAAACUGAUUCCAGCUCAGGGCGACCCCAUGUGUGUCGGAGUAGAACUGUGCUCCACAGGAUUUUCAGUGGCUGAUUUUUGGAAGCAGGUUAUCAAGCUUUUCUUCCAAAGCACAUCUGACGGACUGAGACCUCCACCCUUUGUUCAGCAGUUGGCCACAUUGACCAUUUGCACCUCCCGGGAACAGAAUAAGCAAAAGCACAGAAAUGGGAGAAUAAGAGACAACAAAGGAAGAGUGCGUGGUGCAUUUUGGCUAGACUGGAAGAGCCAUUAAGAGCAGCAGUUGGCAACAAGAGUUUGGACAAGUAGUUGGGAUCAGAUCCUAGGAGACCCUGAGUGCCAAGCUAAGGAUUAUGGCCUGUAUUUUGACAGAGAUGGGCCAUUAAUGGAAUUUGAGUAGGACAAUAAAAUGAUAUGAGCUGAGAGUCAGGAAAAGUCAUCUACAACUGUGUGUAGGAUGGAUUCUUGUGACUAUCGAUAUUAUUUUCCUGAAGGGUUUGGGGAGAAAGUUUGAACUUCUAUAUUUUAGCACUCUUGAAAUCCAGAGUCUGUAGUGAUCAGGGUUGGAGUGGUACUUAAUUUUAUUCGGUAGUUGUGCAACAUUUAGAAAACAAAGGUCCUUCUCCGAAUCAUAUGGAACUCAUAAUAUUAGUCUGAAGAACAUACUUCUUUGGCAAAAAUGAAGCACUCCCUGUAACUACCUCUUUCAUUUGUUUUAGCCCCAGUCACAUUAUCUAUAACCACAUAUUACAGAAAUAGGGGCGAGAGACACCAGGAGGUAAAAACAACUGCUUUACACCAAGCUACUAUGAUCACGAUCCUAAAAGGCGCACACCAGACUCUCUGCCUGCCUCAGACCCACACAGGGCUGUGACUUUAGCAUUCAGCAACGGCUUAUCAGAGCAGCUUAGUGAAGUGUCCUUGCUCCUGGAGUUCCCAUGGGCUUCACACACAGAACAGGCUGACCCUAACACUAUUGCCCUCCUAUAAGCCUCUCGGAGCCAGAACAGCUGUGGAAGAUGAGUGGUGUCUGGCUGGCCAAUCAACAAGCAGCUGACGGACGACAGACCCCAUUUGUGACUCUACACAGAUGAUAGAGGAAGCUGAGUUGCCCUGCCCUGCUGGGUUCAGAACUCUCGAUGGAAAGAGAAUAACAGAUGUUCAAUAAAAAGAAGAAAAAGCCAACUACGAACCCAAAACAUAAUUUGGCUCCACAAAUAACAUGCUGGUGGAUAUCUGGAGAAUCAGAGCCAUUUUUGCCAGCUCUCACAGGACAUCUGGAUGACAAACACAGAGGGAAAGGGUUACAUAUUUCUGAUCUCUGUCACAAUUCCGUGAUGAACUCCAAAGAGUGAGACACUGUCUUGGCAUGUCCCACAGAGAAGCUCUCUGGGCUCGCACGGGUUUGUUUAGAACCAGAGGCAAACAUGGGAAGGGGUUUCCUAGCCCCAGGCAAGGAGAACUCAUUAAGAAGGAGCAAGAUGGGGAGCUGAAGACAUUGUCCUCUUACCUCAUAUGAAGAUCAUCACAUUAAAGAAACAUACCUGCCAUGAAUUUACAGACAUAGACAUGGAGCCAUCCAGAUAAUCUUUUUAAAAACUCAAAGCCCACAAUUUAAAAUUCUCUGCAUUCAAAUAAGCAACUAACUCCAAGGGUUGGGCCCUCAAGGAUCCACUUAUUAUGUAAUAAAGAGAGGCAGCCAGGGGUUAAGCCCUUUCUCUCCCUGAUGAGCAAGUACGGGAAGAACUUCCACAGAGGAGAAUGCUGCCUCAAGGCUUGUCCUUCAAAAUCCUCACCUUGCUGCCUUGCCCAAAAGGCCAGGGUGUUUACGGCCAAUGUCUGAGGUCAUGAGUUACAGAAAUGGCAAGGAAAGUGCAAGAAAGUCCUUGACUAGCUGUUUGGAUGCUAAAGCUGGGCGUGGAUUUUAGUCUACGUUUGUGGCUGUGUGUUAUCUGAAACUGCCUCCAAAGACUUCCCAGUUCAACUACGAGAAGACAUAAAUCCACAGCUCAGUACCAGCAUUUACUGACCACCCAGCUCCCUCCCAGGCCGUUACUCUGUGAUUAGAAAAGGACCUAACUGGCUUCUGGUGAACUGGAGAGUAUGCUCAGAGCGCCCUUUCUCUGUGACUCCGUCAAGGAUAAGGUUAGAUUUAAUUUAAGAGCCCUAAAUGAUAUCUAUGAGGGUUGUAGGACUAGAAAUUGAUUCACAUAGGUACUCAUACUGAUGUGCUGAACCCCAAAAUGCCAGAGGUGGGUCAAGAGGCAGGAGCAGGGUUCAUGGAGUAGACAUCACAGGCAGAGCGGGGACUGACCUAGUUUAGGAGAAGAUACCUAAGUCUAGGUACUUUGAAGCCCCUGAAGAAUGACCCAUAGUUGCAUUCAAUGACUAACAUCCCCUGGGAUGCUUCCCACUUCCAUAAAAUGUUUCUGGUCUAAUUAAUUAACAGAAUUAUCUUAAAUUUCUAAAGAAGCUUCUGACACAAGAAGCUUAGACUUCUUCCCCUUAAAUUGACAUAUACCUGCUAUUUCGCUGUGGAUUUGUGUAGGGUGGGAAAGGUGAAAGAAUUUCUUAUUAUUUAUUAAUAACAUUAAGUUAUUACUUAUUAUAUUAAGACUAUACCUAUUAACAUGGUGCACCUAAUUUUGUAUGUAUGGUUUUAGAUUGUAUUAAAGAACUCCCUUUAAAAGUUUAAGAGAUCCCUACACUCAACAAUAAUUUAAUACUGGGAAAGAAAUAUUAACACUAAUUUAAUACUGGGAAAAGGCCACUAAAAUUAACCCAUUUAAACAGGUACUAAAGUCACAGGACAUAGUUUAAAGUAUAUUUGAAAAACUUAUCUUAAAAACUGAGGAAAAAUAUGAAAAUAAGUCUAUUUUAUAUUUAACAAAUGAAGUUGUAAUAGCAAAUAUGCACUAAAGUCUUAGGAUGCAGAAAGAGUGACUCAGCUGUUGAGUCCAGGGAGAAAAGCAUUUUCCAUCAAAAUUGCAGUACAGCGUGACAUGGUGCCCGUCACAUCACUGUUGGGCUAUCACAGCACAGUCCCAGCAAAGGUCACUUUUUAAAGCCUAAUUGCUGGCUUUUCAAUGGCUUCAUUGGUUUUCUGAAAGACUUAUUUUUUAAUUUGUUCAUAUCAGAAUACUUUUCACCCGAUGUACCAAUUAUUUCUUCAUUUUUGUGGUUUCUCCUUUGUCAAAUCCAUUUGUCUGUAUCUUGGUAUGUGAUUUCAGUGGUUCUUCACCGUC